This 405-nucleotide ribosomal RNA is filed under the name uncultured bacterium. Its description in RNAcentral is "partial 16S ribosomal RNA". It matches the Rfam family "Bacterial small subunit ribosomal RNA", at positions 28 to 526 of the family's 1533-position model. The record is from RNAcentral.
GAUGAACGCUGGCGGCGUGCCUAAUACAUGCAAGUCGAGCGAAGCGGGGACGGGUGAGUAACACGUGGAUAACCUCCUAUAAGACUGGGAUAACUCCGGGAAACAGGAGUUAUACACGAUACUUAUCGUUUGAUCCGCGCUGCAUUAGCUAGUUGGUAAGGUAACGGCUUACCAAGGCAACGAUGCAUAGCGGGCUUGCGAGGGUGAUCGGCAACAUUGGAACGGAGACACGGCCAAGACUCCUACGGGAGGCAGCAUGAGGGAAUUUUCGGCAAUGGGCGAAAUCCUGAGGGAGAAACCCCGCGGGAGUGAUGAAGGCCUUCGGUUCGUAAAAUUCUUUGAUUAGGGAAGCGGUACCUAAUCAGAAAGCCACGGCUAACUACGUGCCAGCAGCCGCGGUAAUUC